This 701-nucleotide ribosomal RNA is filed under the name uncultured bacterium. Its description in RNAcentral is "bacterial SSU rRNA". It matches the Rfam family "Bacterial small subunit ribosomal RNA", at positions 56 to 749 of the family's 1533-position model. The record is from RNAcentral.
UGCAGUCGAACGGUAGCACAGAGAGCUUGCUCUCGGGUGACGAGUGGCGGACGGGUGAGUAAUGUCUGGGAAACUGCCUGAUGGAGGGGGAUAACUACUGGAAACGGUAGCUAAUACCGCAUAACGUCGCAAGACCAAAGAGGGGGACCUUCGGGCCUCUUGCCAUCAGAUGUGCCCAGAUGGGAUUAGCUAGUAGGUGGGGUAACGGCUCACCUAGGCGACGAUCCCUAGCUGGUCUGAGAGGAUGACCAGCCACACUGGAACUGAGACACGGUCCAGACUCCUACGGGAGGCAGCAGUGGGGAAUAUUGCACAAUGGGCGCAAGCCUGAUGCAGCCAUGCCGCGUGUAUGAAGAAGGCCUUCGGGUUGUAAAGUACUUUCAGCGGGGAGGAAGGUGUUGUGGUUAAUAACCGCAGCAAUUGACGUUACCCGCAGAAGAAGCACCGGCUAACUCCGUGCCAGCAGCCGCGGUAAUACGGAGGGUGCAAGCGUUAAUCGGAAUUACUGGGCGUAAAGCGCACGCAGGCGGUCUGUCAAGUCGGAUGUGAAAUCCCCGGGCUCAACCUGGGAACUGCAUUCGAAACUGGCAGGCUAGAGUCUUGUAGAGGGGGGUAGAAUUCCAGGUGUAGCGGUGAAAUGCGUAGAGAUCUGGAGGAAUACCGGUGGCGAAGGCGGCCCCCUGGACAAAGACUGACGCUCA